Molecule: long non-coding RNA, 920 nt
Organism: Phyllopteryx taeniolatus (common seadragon)
Lineage: Eukaryota; Metazoa; Chordata; Actinopteri; Syngnathiformes; Syngnathidae
Exons: 3
Source: RefSeq, a predicted model, not a curated record
CACGGGUUUCUCUAUAUGUUGGAUUUCUCAACCGUGAUUGUACGGGGAUGGCUAUUUUAACAGCAUCCAUUUUCUAGUGGUGAGGACUCACAUCAACAGGGGCACGUGUUCCAAGCAGAACACUUCAAUCUGCGACUGCAGGUAACGACAGCAAAGGUUUCAAGCCAACAAACACUGCAGAUGAACAUCGAUACUGCGUCUCUUCCUCUCCCUUCCUUGACGUCACAUGCACGGAGACGGUAACUAAGUGCAGUGCCUGCCACAUUGUAUUGUGCGUCGACACGGACCAUCCGAGCUCCCAUCUGGCAGCUGUCAACGCUAUAACUGUCCGCUAACACGGAGGUUAAUGAAGCCCCCCGUGUUGGCCAAUGCACCCCCAGCGUUCAGACCUCAAGCUGCUUGGAGACUCACGCGCAGCCCUGAAGGAUUGGCUCCAUUACAGUUACCAGCACGGGGCUACAUACACGUCCUGGAUAAAAUGAUGCUGGCACCUGCUACCUGGGCUCAGCUGUUGCUAUGCAGCAGUGGUGCGAGUUAACCAAGGGGAAAUACAGUGGUGCCUUGAGAUAUGAGUAUCUCAAAUACUCUUUCCCCAUUGAAAUGUAUGGAAAUGCAAUUACAGUAAUUUGUCCAAGCCCCGACCUCCCCAUAAAAGGAAUUCAAUUGAAUGGCCAUUGUGCUGCUCCUUCUGACGUGCCCGCCUUGGCCACCUGGGGGCAGUACAAGACAAACGGAAAUACCAUACAAGGAGACGUCACAGCUUUUUAAGCUCCUCAGUACGACACUAAUACUAGUCAUUCUUCACAGAGGAUAAAGAAUAAAUGACCAAGUACGGUUACAUUUUCUGUUUGUUUUCAAAUAUCUGUUGCUUAAAACAUUAUACCACCCCAACAAUAAUGCUAGUUAGCCCAUUCCUAUGG